RNAcentral lists this ribosomal RNA (440 nucleotides) under uncultured bacterium. RNAcentral describes it as "bacterial SSU rRNA". It matches the Rfam family "Bacterial small subunit ribosomal RNA", at positions 55 to 509 of the family's 1533-position model. The record is from RNAcentral.
AUGCAAGUCGAACGGAGUUGAGAGAGCUUUGCUUUUUCAACUUAGGUGGCGGACGGGUGAGUAACGCGUGAGUAACCUGCCUUUCAGUGGGGAAUUAAUAUUCUGAAAAGAGUACUAAUACCGCAUAAUGUAUAGAAACCGCAUGAUUUUUAUACCAAAGAUUUAUCGCUGAGAGAUGGACUCGCGUCCGAUUAGCCAGUUGGUGAGGUAACGGCUCACCAAAGCAACGAUCGGUAGCCGGACUGAGAGGUUGAACGGCCACAUUGGGACUGAGACACGGCCCAGACUCCUACGGGAGGCAGCAGUGGGGAUAUUGUGCAAUGGGGAAACCCUGACACAGCAAUGCCGCGUGAAGGAUGAAGGUCUUCGGAUUGUAAACUUCUUUUGUCAAGGACGAUAAUGACGGUACUUGACGAAUAAGCUCCGGCUAACUACGUGCC